Molecule: ribosomal RNA, 576 nt
Filed under: uncultured bacterium
Lineage: Bacteria
Description: bacterial SSU rRNA
Rfam family: Bacterial small subunit ribosomal RNA
Source: RNAcentral
CUACGGGAGGCAGCAGUGGGGAAUAUUGCACAAUGGGCGAAAGCCUGAUGCAGCCAUACCGCGUGUGUGAAGAAGGCCCUCGGGUUGUAAAGCGCUUUCGUUAGGGAAGAAAAGUGCGGAGUUAAUACCUCCGUACUGUGACGGUACCUAAAUAAGAAGCACCGGCUAACUCCGUGCCAGCAGCCGCGGUAAUACGGAGGGUGCAAGCGUUAAUCGGAAUCACUGGGCGUAAAGCGCGCGUAGGCGGUUUGGUCAGUCAGAUGUGAAAGCCCCGGGCUCAACCUGGGAACUGCAUUUGAUACUGCCAGACUAGAGUGUAGUAGAGGGAAGCGGAAUUUCCAGUGGAGCGGUGAAAUGCGUAGAGAUUGGAAAGAACACCGAUGGCGAAAGCACUUUACUGGGCUAUUACUAACACUCAGAGACGAAAGCUAGGGUAGCAAAUGGGAUUAGAUACCCCAGUAGUCCUAGCCGUAAACAAUGGAUACUAGAUGUUGAACAGAUCGACCUGUGCAGUAUCAAAGCUAACGCGUUAAGUAUCCCGCCUGGGAAGUAUGCUCGCAAGAGUGAAACUCAAAU